RNAcentral lists this ribosomal RNA (279 nucleotides) under uncultured archaeon. RNAcentral's name for it is "partial 16S rRNA". It matches the Rfam family "Archaeal small subunit ribosomal RNA", at positions 1047 to 1325 of the family's 1478-position model. The record is from RNAcentral.
GAGACCCACGCCAACAGUUGCCAGCAUGUCCUCCGGGAUGGUGGGGACACUGUUGGGACCGCCUCUGCUAAAGAGGAGGAAGGAAUGGGCAACGGUAGGUCAGCAUGCCCCGAAUUAUCCGAGCUACACGCGGGCUACAAUGGUCAGGACAAUGGGUAUCGACACCGAGAGGUGAAGGCAAUCUCUUAAACCUGUCCUUAGUUCGGAUUGUGGGCUGCAACUCGCCCACAUGAAGCUGGAAUCCGUAGUAAUCGCGUCUCAAAAUGGCGCGGUGAAUAU